UUGAACGCUGGCGGCAGGCCUAACACAUGCAAGUCGAGCGGAUGAAGGGAGCUUGCUCCUGGAUUCAGCGGCGGACGGGUGAGUAAUGCCUAGGAAUCUGCCUGGUCGUGGGGGAUAACGUCCGGAAACGGGCGCUAAUACCGCAUACGUCCUGAGGGAGAAAGUGGGGGAUCUUCGGACCUCACGCUAUCAUAUGAGCCUGGGUCGGAUUAGCUAGUCGGUGGGGUAAAGGCCUACCAAGGCGACGAUCCGUAACUGGUCUGAGAGGAUGAUCAGUCACACUGGAACUGAGACACGGUCCAGACUCCUACGGGAGGCAGCAGUGGGGAAUAUUGGACAAAGGGCGAAAGCCUGAUCCAGCCAUGCCGCGUGUGUGAAGAAGGUCUUCGGAUUGUAAAGCACUUUAAGUUGGGAGGAAGGGCAGUAAGUGAAUACCUUGCUGUUUUGACGGUACCAACAGAAUAAGCACCGGCUAACUUCGUG
RNAcentral lists this ribosomal RNA (483 nucleotides) under uncultured bacterium. RNAcentral's name for it is "partial 16S ribosomal RNA". It matches the Rfam family "Bacterial small subunit ribosomal RNA", at positions 30 to 507 of the family's 1533-position model. The record is from RNAcentral.